AUGCUCCUGGCGCUCUUCCCAGUGCUGGGGAUAAACUUCCUCCUGAGAGAUGUCGAAGCUCAGUCAGUGACUCAACCUGAUGUUCAUGUCACUGUCUCUGAAGAAUCCUCUCUGCGGCUGAGAUGCACCUAUUCCUCCUCUGUGUCACCUUACCUAUUCUGGUAUGUCCAGUACCCACAGCAGGGGCUGCAGCUGCUCCUCAAGUACUAUUCAGGAGACUCCGUGGUUCAAGGAGAGAAUGGCUUUGAGGCUGAGUUCAGCAAGAGCAACUCUUCCUUCCACCUGCGGAAAGCCUCUGUGCACUGGAGCGACUCAGCUGUGUACUUCUGUGCUGUGAGCGCACAGUGUCUGGGGCUAUAG
This is a non-coding RNA of Rattus norvegicus (Norway rat), 360 nucleotides long. The record is from the annotation of a RefSeq genome assembly. Lineage: Eukaryota; Metazoa; Chordata; Mammalia; Rodentia; Muridae.